This is a long non-coding RNA of Lynx canadensis (Canada lynx), 2682 nucleotides long. RefSeq lists it as uncharacterized. The transcript has 3 exons. Lineage: Eukaryota; Metazoa; Chordata; Mammalia; Carnivora; Felidae. The record is from RefSeq and is a predicted model, not a curated record.
UCUCCAGCUUCCCAGCUCGGGUCUGGGGGAGGAGGGCGGGGGACGCGCGCGCCCGGGUCCUCGGGGCGAGCAGGUGCUCGGGAGGGGGCGCUCUGGGGGCAAGGCCGCACCGUGGGGGCGGGGGUCGCCUCCUUGUCACCCCUCCGGCGCCCCAAUCUCAUCUCCGCCCCGGGCCUGUGCUGAGCCGGUGGGCAGAGCGCCCGGGCUCGCUUUCGGCGUGUGCGCCCACAUCGCCGGGGUGUGAGUCACUCCAGGCGGCCGGCACACCCACUUCCCCGGAGUUGGAGGCGGGAGCGAGGAUCCAGGCCUCGGUCUGGUGUGUGCUGUCACUGCUGGUGAGUCUUUCCUUUCCUCCCUGCUUGCUGCCUUACCUAUUAAGGGCUUAAGAACUCUCUGAAGCUGUGGGGUAAGGGAGGGGGGAGCAGGCGCCCCCGCUCAGGUCUCCGGGAGUCAGUUCUACGUCUGGCUGGGCCUCCCCUACUUCUACUCUCUCCCCACCUGUCUCUAGUUCUUUCUCUCAGUUUUUCCCCGUGUGGGUUUUUAUUUCCACUUUUCACCCUUCUUUGGGGUGUACCUAGGGUUCAUCUAUUUCAAGUCUCUUGGUAAACAGUGGCCCAGAGAGCUGGCCUUGCCAAGGUCACAAAGGCCGGGAAUAAGCAGAAGCGGGGCCGGAGCCAGCCCUGAUCUGUGCCCUAGCUGUGACGCCCCGCUGCCUCUGUUUCAUUUGAGAUCCCCAAAACCUCCCCUCUGCUUUCCAAAAUCUUCCCUCUGAUCUUUCCUCUCCCUCCCCUCUCAUCCAUCUCCUGGCUCUUCCCUCCUCUCCUCUCUUCCCACGCCCUCCACCUGCUAGUUCCUCUGCCGCUCUCGCUCUCACGGGAGGCCUGUCUGUCUGCCUGCCCUGCAGGGUUUGUGGGGAAGUAAACAUCUGUCCACGAGUGUGCUCGCACACACUGUUGUACAGACCUGUCUGCUCACCCGUCACGUCCAAAUUCCCCACGGACAGAGGCGUUCACAUAAUGCAGAGGCCACAGAUGUACCCAGUCUCAGACACACUGAAUACCACUGGGGUGGACAGCGAGGGUUUCUCAGGGACACAGAGACGUACUCCAAGAAAACACGCAAAGAGACGCUGUCAUCAGUUUUAUUGUCAAUAAGAACAAUGCGGCAGCCGUAGGUCUUUGGGGAGCAGCAGCUCAAAGACGAACAUAAUAAAGAUCGGGCAGCCCUUGAGGCCCCCUUCUCCCCACCUCUGCUCCGCACUUACCGGGGAGACGCUCAAAUUGGACACCGUGAUAAACCCUCACAAACAAACACAUGUGUAUUUAUCUUGGAACAAAGCUCUCAGCUCAGUGCUCAUAAGACCUACAGCUACAGAUACGACCCAAACCUGUUUUGUAAAACGGGCUUUCGUGCUGUGGAAGAUGGAGUCACAGUCCCCCAAGAUGUCCACGUCUUCAUUCCUGGAACCUGGUAAACCUGGUAAAUCUGUUACCUUCCAGGGCAAAGGGGAAUUAAGUUUGCAGAUGGACUUAGGGUUGCUGAUCACUUGGGUUCGAAACAGGGAGAUUUCUCUAGAUUAUCCACAGGGGUUCAAGGUCCACAACAUCCUUAAAGGCAGAGGACGGAAGCAGGAGAGAACAACCAGCGAGAGACGUGUGAGAAGCACUCAGCCUAACACUGUUGACUUUGAACACUGAGGAAAGGGCUGCGUGCAGAGGAAGCAGACGGCCCCUCGGAGCCGGAAAAGGAAGGCAAUGGACUCCAGGAGGCCUCCAGUCCUGCGGAUGGCUUGAUUUUCACCCAGUAGGACCCACUUUCGACUUCUGAACUGCAGGACUGUGAGACUCUGCUGUUUACAAUGUGCAGCCGUCCCAAGAAUUGCUGCACAUACUCUGGGGAGACAGCCCUGAUGGAAAGGGGGCUCGAGGCAGACAGAGGAUGAAGUUUCCAGCAGAUCAACCUGAUACUCAUGGACAUGACCCCGGUUGCAAGCCCGGCACCCUCCCAGCCCGCGCUCUGUAGCUCUGUAGCAGCUCUGAGCUGAGAGGAUGACUCAGAUUCCUGGGGUUAAGGAUUUGCUUUCAGGGUGAGGCCCUGCUUGACCAGGAGUAGAAGGAGCGAAUGAUGAGGUCCAGGCACACUAACACUGAUGUAUGACAAUCAGCAUGACGGCCACAGCCUGUGGACAGCAAGAGAGACACCAGACAGUCAUGUGCAUGUCCACACAGUGCCGUGAAGGGAGCUGCAGGUGCUGAGGACCAAGUCAGGGAGCAGAAACUACUCUCUGUCUGGUCUGGUCGGCGGCAAGGGAUUCAAUACAAGGAACCACGUGAUAAGAGAAUCAUGGAAAGGCCUGGAAGGUCACAAGGCUCUAGCUGGACUCUUGGUUUCAAGGUCAGUCAGUCAGAAGCACUCCCAGAAGCACUGCCCCCACUCCCACGUGUCUGCUGGAGCUCGGCCACCUCAUCUGCUGUAGGAGGGGGGCCUCCCUCACUCUUGCCUCUUGAAUGUCAUACAACUACAUCCAACUGGGGAAACCCUAGCUGCAAAAGUUCCUGAGAAGUAGAGUUUGUUUUACUUUCCAACCUCUCCAAAUAGAAGGGACAUCAUUCCACAUAUCUAGAGUUGCCAGAUAAAAUAUGGGACGUCCAGGGGCGCCUGAGUGACUCAGUUAAGCGUCCG